UGGGUCGGCUGGACGGUCGCGUGGCGGGUGACCGCACCGAGGAACGUCCGGGCUCCACAGGGCAGGGCGGUGGGUAACACCCACCCGGAGUGAUCCGCGAGAAAGUGCCACAGAGAGCAGACCGCCCGUGAUCCUCGGAUCGCGGGUAAGGGUGAAAGGGUGGUGUAAGAGACCACCGGGGGCCGUGGUGACACGGCCCGCCAGGUAAACCUCGCCCGGAGCAAGGUCAGACAGAGGAUGUUGACGCGGCCCGCCGAGUCCUCGGGUAGACCGCUGGAGCGGCACGGCAACGUGUCGCCGAGAGAGAUGGCCGUCGAAGGGGCGAAGAACCCCGGAACAGAACCCGGCGUACAGGCCGGCCCAUUCG
Molecule: RNase P RNA, 367 nt
Filed under: Microbacterium sp.
Lineage: Bacteria; Bacillati; Actinomycetota; Actinomycetes; Micrococcales; Microbacteriaceae
Also listed under: 5 other names
Description: RNase P RNA component class A
Rfam family: Bacterial RNase P class A
About the family: Ribonuclease P (RNase P) is a ubiquitous endoribonuclease, found in archaea, bacteria and eukarya as well as chloroplasts and mitochondria. Its best characterised activity is the generation of mature 5'-ends of tRNAs by cleaving the 5'-leader elements of precursor-tRNAs.
Source: RNAcentral